CAAUCAGCGCCCGUGUUUUUAAAAGGCUAUUUAAGAUAUAUAUAUAUAUAUAUAUAUAUAUAUAUAUAUAUAUAUAUAUAUAUAUAUAUCUUAAAUAGCCUUUUAAAAACACGGGCGCUGAUUG
Paramuricea clavata is the source of this 124-nucleotide non-coding RNA. The record is from the annotation of a GenBank genome assembly. NCBI's taxonomy places the organism in Eukaryota, Metazoa, Cnidaria, Anthozoa, Malacalcyonacea, Plexauridae.